Molecule: non-coding RNA, 101 nt
Organism: Pelobates cultripes (western spadefoot toad)
Lineage: Eukaryota; Metazoa; Chordata; Amphibia; Anura; Pelobatidae
Source: the annotation of a GenBank genome assembly
AAGCAAUCUGUUCCUAAAAUUGAAGCCUUGUCUUUUGUGUUACUUAUAAAUAACACAAAAGACAAGGCUUCAAUUUUAGGAACAGAUUGCUUUCCAAAAUU